AGAGUUUGAUCAUGGCUCAGGAUGAACGCUAGCGGCAGGCUUAACACAUGCAAGUCGAGGGGUAUUUAUCUUCGGAUAGAGAGACCGGCGCACGGGUGCGUAACGCGUAUGCAAUCUACCUUUUACAGAGGGAUAGCCCAGAGAAAUUUGGAUUAAUACCUCAUAGUAUAAUGACUCGGCAUCGAGAUAUUAUUAAAGUCACAACGGUAAAAGAUGAGCAUGCGUCCCAUUAGCUAGUUGGUAAGGUAACGGCUUACCAAGGCUACGAUGGGUAGGGGUCCUGAGAGGGAGAUCCCCCACACUGGUACUGAGACACGGACCAGACUCCUACGGGAGGCAGCAGUGAGGAAUAUUGGACAAUGGGCGCAAGCCUGAUCCAGCCAUGCCGCGUGCAGGAUGACGGUCCUAUGGAUUGUAAACUGCUUUUAUACGAGAAGAAACACUCCUUCGUGAAGGAGCUUGACGGUAUCGUAAGAAUAAGGAUCGGCUAACUCCGUGCCAGCAGCCGCGGUAAUACGGAGGAUCCAAGCGUUAUCCGGAAUCAUUGGGUUUAAAGGGUCCGUAGGCGGUUUAAUAAGUCAGUGGUGAAAGCCCAUCGCUCAACGGUGGAACGGCCAUUGAUACUGUUAAACUUGAAUUAUUAGGAAGUAACUAGAAUAUGUAGUGUAGCGGUGAAAUGCUUAGAGAUUACAUGGAAUACCAAUUGCGAAGGCAGGUUACUACUAAUGGAUUGACGCUGAUGGACGAAAGCGUGGGUAGCGAACAGGAUUAGAUACCCUAGUAGUCC
RNAcentral lists this ribosomal RNA (787 nucleotides) under uncultured bacterium. RNAcentral's name for it is "bacterial SSU rRNA". It matches the Rfam family "Bacterial small subunit ribosomal RNA", at positions 8 to 796 of the family's 1533-position model. The record is from RNAcentral.